CGCCCGCUGUCUCGCUCCGCGGCGGCCACAGGUGCGCGGCUCGCGGCGCCCUGGCGCCGACUCCGGGGAAAGUUUUCCCGGCCGCGCGCAGCGCGCGGUGUACGGUCUCUCUCUGCAGCGCGGGGGCCCGGAGCGCUCGGACCAGCCCAGCCAUUGAAACCCGAUACGCGGGGUGGAGCCCACGAAGAAGGCCGGCGAAGAAGGCGCGCGGGCCGGCGGCCGGGCUGCCCCCGCGCCACUCACCUGCGGCUCCGCGGGCGGCCUCCGCGUCCAUGCUCCCGCGCGCGCCCUGCGCCCCGCCCCGGCCCGGUCCCCAGGGGUGCCCCGCACCGGGACCCGCGGAGGCCCCGGCCGCGCCCUGAAUUGCCCAGGUCCCCAUGGCCCCCGCCCCCUGCCCCCGGGCUGUCGACCUGCAACCUGUCUCUGGGGACCUCGGCUCCCCACACAGUUUGCACAGCGAGUUUGCACCACUCACCACCACCUCCGAGGAGCAGCCCCGCGCCGGGAGCCGGCUGUGUCUGCUUUCAAGAGGCAUUGUUUACACCCUCCUCCCACCCCUAGAGCCUUCAGCCUUUCAGGGCCCCCCAAAUGCUGCAGGGUGGUCGGUCCCCAUCCAUUCAAGCCAGAGGCCAACGCCAGCGGGGGCCGGCCUGCGACCUGCGCAGGCGCACAAGCGCGCUCCCCUCUCCGGUUCCAUGGAUUCCCGGUCCAGCUGCGUGGUGGUGACCGGUGAGAAAGCCAAGGCACUGAAGCUGGGUAACUUGCUCGAGAUCACCACACUGCCAAGUGGUGGGGCUGAGGUGAGAUGCAACGGCAGAAGCCUGGACCCAAACACCGAGGUCUCCAGCAACUCCUGGCUGUCGUCGGGCCGUGGCCUGAGCUUUGAUGGGGCCACUGGACGGUGUGGAUGCCUUUAAAAGGAGCAGCCAUCAUAGUGAUAGGGUGAGGGAGUCUCUCUCUCCCCAGGCCAGCAGAAAACCUUUCCUAAGCCAGUCCCAGAGGGGGCUUGCUGUCCUCUCCAAAGCAAAAUUCUACCUAAUUUCCUUUUCUUGGAGAUCAUAAUAAAUUGCAGUUAAAUGACGUAAUCAUACACAGUGUAGAUAAGUGUUCCCAGUUCAAGGAACAAGCCCUUCUGCCCGCAAGCCUCAUCCAGCUCUCACUCCUUCCCCGUGUAAAGGCCUCCCCAGCCUCUUCCGUGGGGCUUCCUCGCCCAGGCUCACUCCCUGCAACUCCUCUGCCUCUACCCUGGUUAAGUCCUUGCUCACCCCCACUUCCUCCUGGAGACUUCCCCAAUCACCCCUACUCUGGCUGCUCUCUCCCCCUGUGAAGUGUUCUGAUCCUAGUUGUUCAAAGCCUCACUAGUCCAAGUGUGGAGAGGGCCAGUAGCCUUAGUAGCACUGGGGAGCUUGUUAAGAACUCAGAAUCUCCAGCAUCACCCCAGACCUGCCCAAUCAGAUUCUAUAUUUUAAUAAGAUAUACAUGCACAUUAGCAUUUGAGAAACUCUGGACCAAAUCAUACUUCUUUUUAAAUUUUGAAAUAAUUAUAGAUUCACAGGAAUUUGCAAAGAAAUUUAUAGAAUGGUCCCCUAGAGCCAGACCCGCAAUGUUAACAUCUUCAGUAUCAAGCUAAGAUACUGACCUUGGUAUAACUCUGUGUGCACAUCUCUAUGCAGUUUUAUCCCAUGCUUAGCUUCAUGUAACCACGGCAUCAAGAUAAAUAACAGAACCAAAAUCACAAGGUUUCCUUGAAUUAUACCUUUAGAACCACACUCACCGUUUCCCGUCUCUAACUCCUGGUAACCACUAUUCUGUUCUUCAUCUGCUGCUGCUGCUAAGUCGCGUCAGUCGUGUCCGACUCUGUGCGACCCCAUAGACGGCAGCCCACCAGGCUCCCCCGCCCCUGGGAUUCUCCAGGCAAGAACACUGGAGUGGGCUGCCAUUUCCUUCUCCAAUGCAUGAAAGUGAAAAGUGAAAGUGAAGUCGCUCAGUCGUGUCCGACUCUUGGCGACCCCAUGGACUGCAGCCCACCAGGCUCCUCCGUCCGUGGGAUUUUCUGGGCAAGAGUACCGGAGUGGGGUGCCAUUGCCUUCUCCAUCUCUAUAAUUAAUUUUAUAAAUAUAAAUUAUGAUUUACAAAUAUUAUGUAGGUAGAAUCGUACAAUACGUAUCAUUUUGAGAUUGACUUUUUUUUCUUUCAUUUAGCAUAAUUCCCUUGAGGUUCAUCCAAGUUGUGUAUACCAAUAAUUCCUUCAUUUUAAAAGCAGUUUCGGUAGCUUUAUUGAGAUGUAAUUCACAUGCUAUACAAUUUACUCAUUUAAAGCAUACAGUUCAGUGGCUUUUAGUGUAGUCACAGUUAUGCCCUUAUCACCACAAUCAAUUUUAGAACGUUUUCAUUACCCUGAAAAGAUACUCGACCCCCUGAUCCUCAUCCCUGCUCCCCAACUACACACUCUCUCUCUCUCUCUCUCUCUCUCUCUCUCUCUCUCUCUCUCUCUCUCUCUCUCUCAAGCUCAGUCGUUACAGGCGGCCGAUGCGGACAUCUCAUAUAAAUGGAAUGGUACACUUUCGUAACUGGCCUCGCUCACUGAGCCUGAUGUUUUCAAGGCUCAUCCGUGCUGUCACGUGGCCAUAGCACUUCAUUUACUUUUACAGAUGGUGCGCCAUCGUAUGGCUAAUACCAGUUUUGUUUAUCCAUCAUCAGCCGAUGGACACCUGGGUUGCUUCCGCUUUUGUAUUUUCACUGCUCAGCAGUAUUCCAUGAUCUGGAUGAACCAGCUUAUUUAACCAUUCACUCAUUGAAAGACAUUGGGGUGAUUUCUAGCUAUGGGCUAUUACAAAUAAAGCUGCAGUGACCAUCUGUGUACAAGUUUCUGUGUAAAAGUAAGUUUUUAUUUCUCUGGGGUCAAUAUGGAGCAGAGAAAGUCCUUGGAAGUCCACUUUCAGUUUUAAAAGAACCUGUCAAA
RNAcentral lists this long non-coding RNA (2962 nucleotides) under Capra hircus (goat). Its description in RNAcentral is "lncRNA (ENSCHIG00000005224.1)". The record is from RNAcentral. Lineage: Eukaryota; Metazoa; Chordata; Mammalia; Artiodactyla; Bovidae.